GAAGGCUCUGAAAAUGACCCUUCUGUGCUGUUUCUCUCUUCUGCUGGUGGCUGGCUGUCCUUGGCUUGUAGGCACCUCCCUCUAAUCUCUGCCUCUGUCAUCACGUGGCCUUCUUCCGGACACAACUCAACCCACAACAAGGAUAAAACAUGCAGGCCCCGGAGUGACCCAGCCCAAGAGGGCGGUGAGGAUUACAGGAAGGGGGCCUGGGUGGGGUGGGCGGGGCAGGGCAGGCUUCAGGAAGGGGAAGGGCCGGAUGGCGGAUGGCCGGGGAGGCUCCAGGUAUGUGGGGAGGAAGGUGGAGCAUGAGCAAGUGGACGAGUGAAAGACAGCCCAGAGGCGGGAAUGCACAGAGCACACACCGCCACAGGAGAGAGGCGCCAAGGACCUCCUCAGAGCCGCCUUCUAGAACUGGAGAAAACUGCAGGGGGACGACACCCACCUUGUUCCCCGGUGUCUAGAAAAGGAUUCGCUCGGAGGAUGUACUCAAGAAAUAUUCUUUUGAUUAAAAAAAGGCCACCGCGAGAAGAGAGACUCCUGACAGUGACAUCUCAGAGCCUGUCCCUGCAGAGACGCAGACGACCCCCAAGCCCCCACCCCCCAAAAGCCCUUCACGCAACCAGUGUGUCAGGAGGACCGGGCUCCUGUCCCGCCAUGGCUGCUGAGCCGAGGUGAAGCUUGGGUGAGGUGCCUCCCCUGCCCAAGCCUCAGUGGUCCUCCCUGGAAGGCGGAGACAGCAGUGUUCACUUCACACAGCUAACAUGAGAAGGCAGUGUGGCCAGCCGUCCCGAAGCUAGACUCGGGCACUUUGAUUCAGUCUGACAACCUGAGCCCUCUCCCAGGCCCAGGGGGUUCGGGAUGGGCAAGGCAGGCUACGCACUGCCUGCAGGAGGUAUGGACGGUCUGCUGGGGUGGAUUUCAGCGGAUGCUGGGGUCAGGUAAACCCCUUCCCAGGAGGUGGCACAUAAGGGGAGUAGACCGAUGAGGAGGAGUCAGUCAGACAAGGAACGGGAGGACAGUGCUCAGCAAAGGGAAUGGCAUCUUGGAGACUAGAGCUUAGGGCCUAUCCUAGAAGCGGUCUGGUAUGGUUGGAGCGUAGAGAGCAAAGGGGAUGCCAGAACUGAGGCCAGAGGCCCCAUGGACUCCACCUGAAAUAUCGUUGUAUUGGUUGGCAUUUUCUUUGGUUUAAAAUCCAGAUUAUUUC
This 1204-nucleotide long non-coding RNA is filed under the name Mustela putorius furo (domestic ferret). RNAcentral's name for it is "lncRNA (ENSMPUG00000032001.1)". Lineage: Eukaryota; Metazoa; Chordata; Mammalia; Carnivora; Mustelidae. The record is from RNAcentral.